AGACAAGGCAUGCCCAGAUGCUGGCCACCCUCCAGAGAAGCCCUAUGGCAAACCCCAAGUCCUUGAAGGACAAGGCAUGAGACAAAUGCCUGAUCUGUAGACAGGCAGGGCAUUGGGCCAAAGAGUGUCCAAACCGUGACAAGUCUCCUAGAACGGCUUGCCACAAAUGCCAUCAACUGGGACAUUGGGCGGCACUCUGCCCUGGGGACCCAAGAGCCUCAAGGUCAAGCGCCAAGCCUUCCCUCACGAUGGUUCAACAAGACUGAAGCGGCACGCUCCAGCCAGCCCACCUGUCACAGAUAACCAUCAAGGGGCUGGAGCCAAGGGUGCAACCGGAUGUGGCAGAAACCUUGGACCACUGGACAAAACCCCAAGAGAGAUUGUCGGAAGAUGCUCUAACCAAUCCUGAGGAAAUCUGGUACACUGAUGGAAGCAGCUUUGUCUUAGAUGGAAAAAGAAGAGCCGGGAAUGCAGUAGUCUCCAAUGUUGAGACCACAGAGGCUAAGCCUCUGCCACCAGGUCAACAAGCUACAACAUGCAGUGCCAGUUCAACAAAGAUAUAAAACUACAGCCGACCACAGAAAAUAUCACUCACCCUUAAGUGGACACCGCUAUAAGGACUCUGAGGCUUGCAACUAGCAAGAGAGGGAGGCCCAAUACCCCUCGCCAUCCCAGUUCAGCAGGAAGUAGCCAAAAAGACCUCGAUGCCCCUAUUCCCAAAGAACUGGGCCUCCCAUCUCUUGAGGGGGGAAUGUUAGGUAGUUAGAAUAGGGAAAAGAAGUCCAAAAUGGCGGUGGCUAAAAGACAAGGAAGAGGAAAGCCCACAAAAAUUGAACAGAGGAAGGUCAAAGGGAGGUCCGAGGACCACAGUGAGGACUUCAGGUAGAACAGCACUCCUGACUAAGCCCAAUUUGCAUAGGGCAGGCCCAGGGGGAAGAAAAAAAAACAUAAAAAGAGGAGCCAAAGUGCUUUCUCUCUCUUUCUCUCCCUUCCCCGAGCACUGGCGUGCUCCUCCACUCUCUUCUCUUCGCAUCCUUGGGUUGGCAUGCCCUCAUGCUUGGAGGAUGGAUUCUCCUGCUAUCUUCUAACUAAAAUAGAGCUGUAACACUGAUUUGUCUAAGAGCUAUAACAUGGUUUGUCCAAGACCCAAGAGCUGUGACGCACCGAGGGCUUUAAUGUCCGUCGCUCCAAAUCUUUGUUGUGAUAAGCCAGAACCUAG
Molecule: long non-coding RNA, 1219 nt
Organism: Bos taurus (domestic cattle)
Lineage: Eukaryota; Metazoa; Chordata; Mammalia; Artiodactyla; Bovidae
Source: Ensembl